This 253-nucleotide ribosomal RNA is filed under the name uncultured bacterium. RNAcentral describes it as "partial 16S ribosomal RNA". It matches the Rfam family "Bacterial small subunit ribosomal RNA", at positions 524 to 776 of the family's 1533-position model. The record is from RNAcentral.
UACGUAGGGGGCUAGCGUUGUCCGGAAUCAUUGGGCGUAAAGGGCGUGUAGGCGGGAAUGUAAGUCGGGCGUGAAAGCCCCAGGCUCAACCUGGGAACUGCACUCGAAACUGCGUUUCUUGAGUAUCGGAGAGGAAAGCGGAAUACCUGGUGUAGAGGUGAAAUUCGUAGAUAUCAGGUGGAACACCAGUGGCGAAGGCGGCUUUCUGGACGAUUACUGACGCUGAGACGCGAAAGCGUGGGGAGCAAACAGG